AUACGUAGGGGGCGAGCGUUGUCCGGAAUGAUUGGGCGUAAAGGGCGCGUAGGCGGCUUUGCAAGUCAGUAGUGGAAGUCCAUUUUUCAAGGAUGGAAGUGCUACAGAAACUGCGGAGCUUGAGUGCAGGAGAGGUUAUCGGAAUUCCCGGUGUAGCGGUGAAAUGCGUAGAGAUCGGGAGGAACACCAGUGGCGAAGGCGGGUAACUGGACUGCAACUGACGCUGAGGCGCGAAAGUGUGGGGAGCAAACAGGAUUAGAUGCCCUGGUAGUCCACACUGUAAACGAUGAAUGCUAGGUGUAGGAGGUAUCGACCCCUUCUGUGCCGCAGUAAACACAGUAAGCAUUCCGCCUGGGGAGUACGGUCGCAAGAUUAAAACUCAAAUGAAUUGACGGGG
Molecule: ribosomal RNA, 397 nt
Filed under: uncultured bacterium
Lineage: Bacteria
Description: partial 16S ribosomal RNA
Rfam family: Bacterial small subunit ribosomal RNA
Source: RNAcentral